ACCUGGAACUCCAGUAGUCCCAUGACAACUGGGACUUCCUGAUGCAACAUGAAAACAGAAAAGCAAAAUGAAAAGAUGAAAGUUAUUGAUGAAAGCAAUAAAAAGAGGAUAAGCAUAAGAACCAAUCCAGGAGAGCAAGACAGGAGAGUGAAUCGCCUGAGUUGCUGGAUUAACUAGCUUGGAACUGACCCAUGUGGGGAUUUCUUGUCCCCAAGUCAGAUUUGUGAGACAAAUAUCCUUACAUUUUGAUCUGUCCCCUACAGCUGAAACAUCCCAAUGGAACAGAGAGCAAUCUGAGAGGUGACAGAGACCAGUGGAGAGCCAGGGACGAAGACCAGAAGAGGAGUCAGGGAGGAGAAAGAGAACCAGAAAGGUCCAAAGAAGAGGCAUAGGACAGAGACUCCUGCCUCCCUUUGAACUCUCUGACCCAAAGGGUUUUAAGCAAACAAUCUGCCUUCUCUUCCAAGUAUUAAUCCAUUUCCAAACCUAGAUGCAAAUCAGUGAGGAUUUAAGAUUCAAGCUCUCAAGCUGUUGACACAUACAAAAUGAAAAUGAACAUCGUGGCAGGUGGUAGGAAAUGAACAAGCACAGGCAACCAGCAACUACAAAAAUGAGAUAACCUGGAGCUUUAGUAAUGCUGAAAUUAUCCACAACCCGGGAGGAUAUUCUUCUUAACAAAAAGCUACCGAUAAAGGGCCAAAUGGAACUGCUGAAAACUAGCCCAAUCUUGUGUCUGCCUUUCAAAUUAAACAAGAUACAGCAUCUGUAUUCAUGCAAAAAA
This is a non-coding RNA of Macaca mulatta (Rhesus monkey), 781 nucleotides long. The record is from RefSeq and is a predicted model, not a curated record. NCBI's taxonomy places the organism in Eukaryota, Metazoa, Chordata, Mammalia, Primates, Cercopithecidae.